Molecule: ribosomal RNA, 458 nt
Filed under: uncultured Pseudomonas sp.
Lineage: Bacteria; Pseudomonadati; Pseudomonadota; Gammaproteobacteria; Pseudomonadales; Pseudomonadaceae
Description: bacterial SSU rRNA
Rfam family: Bacterial small subunit ribosomal RNA
Source: RNAcentral
GGGGGGGUCCGGAGGGGGGAUGUAGAGAGCUUGCUCUUUGAUUCAGCGGCGGACGGGUGAGUUUUGCCUAGGAAUCUGCCUGAUAGUGGGGGACAACGUUUCGAAAGGAACGCUAAUACCGCAUACGUCCUACGGGAGAAAGCAGGGGACCUUCGGGCCUUGCGCUAUCAGAUGAGCCUAGGUCGGAUUAGCUAGUUGGUGAGGUAAUGGCUCACCAAGGCGACGAUCCGUAACUGGUCUGAGAGGAUGAUCAGUCACACUGGAACUGAGACACGGUCCAGACUCCUACGGGAGGCAGCAGUGGGGAAUUUUCCGCAAUGGGCGAAAGCCUGACGGAGCAAUACCAGGAGGGGGGAGGAAGGCCUGUGGGUUGUAAACCUCUUUUCUCAAGGAAGAAGACAGUGACGGUACUUGAGGAAUCAGCAUCGGCUAACUCCGUGCCAGCAGCCGCGGUAAUA